ACAGCUUCCUUCACGCAUGUUGUUCAUCCUCCUCCGCUUCAACUUCCCAUCUUACCUUGAUUCUAUCAACAAACCCUAAUGAAGAAUAUACCCGAUCAAUCCAUCUCAACGCGAUUCUUCAUCUUUCGUCCAUCCCUUCUUCGUUGUGUUCUACUAUAUAUCACUAGCAGGUACGAUUUUUGAUUUUCCUCACAAAACCUCAUCAAAAAAUGAUCCCCUCUCUGAAACGGCGCUGUCGAGAUCUUAUCAAGUUUCGCCCCAAGAUGAUGUUCAACUACACCGGAAAUUUGUAAUCAGAAGUUGCUUCUCUCUCAUUUGUUUUACAUAUCAACCUUUGAUUAUUGUCUGAAUCUGCAGAAAUUUCUUGAAGGAUACUUAGGUAUCUUCAUUAGGCAUCUUCAUCAUCAACACCGUUUCUACACAGGGUUUUUAGGGCUUAUUACAACAGGUGAAAUCUUGUGCUCGAUUUAUAAAGGUGAUUAUGAACUGACUUCAGCGGAUCAGCCAAUGUUCAUCCUUUGUUUGAUAUUGAAGACAAUCUCUUCUUUAACUCCAUUAUUUGUCAUGUUCUGAACAACAAGAUGGAUAAGGAUAAAGCAGCAGCAGUCUGACUAAAAUGUGAAAUUACAUUUUUUUAUCUCGGUGAGUUAAAAGAAGGUCUGGUACUUUUAGCAGAUGAGGUGUAUCAGGAUAUCCCCUUGGUUUCUUUUCACUCAUUCAAAAAUAUGUCAUUCUAUGGGAUAUGGUGACAAGGAUAUCUCCUUGGUUUCUUUUCAAUCGGUGUCUAAAGGAUAUCAUGGUGAGUGUGGGAAAUCCGCAAAGUUACAUGGAGGUAACUGGUUUUAGUUCUGAAGUUAGGGAAUAAUUUUACAAGGUGGCGUCUGUGAAUCUUUGUUCAAAUAUUUCUGGUCAAAUUCUUGCAAGCCUUGUCAUGAGCCCUCCUAAGGUUGGAGAUGAAUCCUAUGACGCAUAUUUUUGUGAGAGAGAUGGGAUCCUGAAAUCACUGGCAAGACGCGCUAAGAUGCAUUUAACAGCUUUGAGGGUGUUAGUUGCAACAAAGCAGAGGGAGCAAUGUACCUAUUUCCACAGAUUAAACUGCCAAAGAAAGUAAUAAAAGCAGUAGACCAGGCUAAAAAAGCGACAGAUACUUACUAUGUUAUCCAUCUCCUUAAUGCCACUGGUGUUGUUAGGGUUCCAGGCAGUGGUUUUGGUCAGGUCCCGGGAACGUGGCAUUUUAGGUGCACGAUAUUGCCUCAGGAGGACAAGAUUCCAGCCAUCGUUUCACAGUUGACAGAUUUCCACACAAGCUUCAUGAAUGAAUUCCGGCCAAGGAUUUACGAGCUUCUCUUGAUAACGGAGAGGAGCUUGGAAUGCCGGAUGGGGUUCUGAUUAAUGGCAAGGGACCGUUUAAGUAUAGUUCCGUUGUUCCGGAUGGCAUUAACCAUACAACGCUUAACGUUGAUCCAGGAAAAACUUACAGAAUUCGCGUGAUCAAUGUUGGAGUCUCAACGUGUUUGAAUUUUCGGAUUCAGAGCCACAUUUUGCUUCUAGCAGAAGCCGAGGGACAUUAUACAUCCACGUGGGACAGUCUUACUCUUUUCUGGUUAAUAUGGAUCAAAACGCAAGUAGCGAUUUUUACGUUGUAGCAAGCCCGAGAUCUGUUAAUGAAUCAGUUUGGCAAUGCGUCACAGGCGUUGCUAUUUUGCACUAUUCAAACUCCAAAGGACAUGCCUCGGGUCCUCUACCCGACGCCCCAAACGACGUAUAUGAUCGUUCAUUUGCAUUGAAUCAAGCCAUGUCCAUCAGGUUUGAGGCUCAUGUGAACCUUACAAGAUAAAAAAAAAUAUGCAUCCAAGAAGCAGUUUUUGUUCUCAGUGUUUGAAUAAAUUGAUGGUUAUUUAAUAAAAACAACGAUUUCUAUUUAGUUCCAUUUCCCGCAGUGAUGGUGGUGUUUCUAGGGAUGAGCAAAUGGUAACGGUUCGAAACCGGUACCGAAUUUCCCAACAGCUUGUCGGGUCAGAUAUACUGUGCCCGUGGUCAGAUAUACUUGUAUUAGAUGAAUAUAGAACAGAGUUGGAGCAAGGGGAUUUCUAUGCUCGUGGUCUUGCUAUCAUGAGAGUUAUGCUUAAGGUAAAGACGGGUCGUUUGAGUUCAUCAAAAGUCCUUUUGUCUAAAAGGAUCUACAAGGAAAUGGCAAUUAAAGGCAAGGAGAUAUACUAGAGCGAAAUGACGCAUUACAAAGUGGAGGCGAGUUUAAUAUGUUAUUCUUUUUGUAUGAUUUUAAUUAAGUAUUAAUCAAUCAUAAAUAGUUUAAUAUGUCAUUCUUUUUGUAUGAUUUUAAUAUGUCAUUCUUUUUGUAUGAUUCCAGUUUGGUUUUAUUUCCUUGAAAAAAUUUUGUUAUCUAUUUCUCUAGGUAUAUAUUACAUAGAGUAUGAGUGUGAAAAGUGAUUGAGGAAGUCAAAGCCGUUACAAUCCUUUGGGUCAAAAAAAAAAAUAGAUCGAAAUAAGUUGUAAUAUAUUUUUGGCCGUGUCUUGGCGCUUUAUUUUGGGUUUGUAUUGUAGUAUGGCUUCUGGUGGUCAAGAUUUGAUAUGGCCUCUUUCUCUGUCUCCACUCUCAAAACCCUAGCUCCGCACCAUAUUCUUCAAAAAUGAGGGUGGAAUGCGACAUAGAUGAUGAGAAUCCGAGUCUAGAUUCGACUUACUAGGUUUGUAUUCAUCUUUUAAUCGUUAUAUAUGUUUUUAGGGUUCUUACGUGUGCUUUUAAUUCAGCAAGUUUAUUCAUAUUAGAAGAAAUAAUGAAGAAAUUGUUCUUCAUUGAUUUUUGGGAGCCGAAAUUCAGUGUCAAUUUAGGGUUUGUUAUUGUUUAAAAUCAACUUUGUUCAUCGAUCAAUCAUUUAGUUUUGAAAUUAGUUGAAAUAAGGGAUUGUUUAUGUGAUAAACCAAUGUGUGUGUAGAAUAUUUUGUGCAGUUGCGUGUUUCAAAAACGAAGAUGAAGGAGCGGAGGUGAAAGAGAACACAAACAAGAUUUUAGCCGUCUUUUUUGCUGAAUUUGGUAUUACAAGUGAUGCAGCAUUGAAGGUCGGUACGUUCGAGUUGGGUCGCGUCGGGUCAUUUGUUUAUUAAAUGUAUCCCAUGUGGGAAUUGAGUUUGGUUAGGAUGAUAAGUAGUGGAGUUCUGUUUUUCUUUAAUUUCUUGAUCACUCAAAUGAAGUUGGUUAAAUUUUUCGCAUUUUUA
Molecule: RNA transcript, 3234 nt
Organism: Helianthus annuus (common sunflower)
Lineage: Eukaryota; Viridiplantae; Streptophyta; Magnoliopsida; Asterales; Asteraceae
Exons: 16
Source: RefSeq, a predicted model, not a curated record